ACCCGAGACUCAGUGAAAUUGAACUCGCUGUGAAGAUGCAGUGUACCCGCGGCAAGACGGAAAGACCCCGUGAACCUUUACUAUAGCUUGACACUGAACAUUGAGCCUUGAUGUGUAGGAUAGGUGGGAGGCUUUGAAGUGUGGACGCCAGUCUGCAUGGAGCCGGCCUUGAAAUACCACCCUUUAAUGUUUGAUGUUCUAACGUGGACCCGUGAUCCGGGUUGCGGACAGUGUCUGGUGGGUAGUUUGACUGGGGCGGUCUCCUCCUAAAGAGUAACGGAGGAGCACGAAGGUUGGCUAAUCCUGGUCGGACAUCAGGAGGUUAGUGCAAUGGCAUAAGCCAGCUUGACUGCGAGCGUGACGGCGCGAGCAGGUGCGAAAGCAGGUCAUAGUGAUCCGGUGGUUCUGAAUGGAAGGGCCAUCGCUCAACGGAUAAAAGGUACUCCGGGGAUAACAGGCUGAUACCGCCCAAGAGUUCAUAUCGACGGCGGUGUUUGGCACCUCGAUGUCGGCUCAUCACAUCCUGGGGCUGAAGUAGGUCCCAAGGGUAUGGCUGUUCGCCAUUUAAAGUGGUACGCGAGCUGGGUUUAGAACGUCGUGAGACAGUUCGGUCCCUAUCUGCCGUGGGCGCUGGAGAACUGAGGGGGGCUGCUCCUAGUACGAGAGGACCGGAGUGGACGCAUCACUGGUGUUCGGGUUGUCAUGCCAAUGGCACUGCCCGGUAGCUAAAUGCGGAAGAGAUAAGUGCUGAAAGCAUCUAAGCACGAAACUUGCCCCGAGAUGAGUUCUCCCUGACCCUUUAAGGGUCCUGAAGGAACGUUGA
RNAcentral lists this ribosomal RNA (823 nucleotides) under Escherichia coli. Its description in RNAcentral is "partial 23S ribosomal RNA". It matches the Rfam family "Bacterial large subunit ribosomal RNA", at positions 2024 to 2841 of the family's 2925-position model. Lineage: Bacteria; Pseudomonadati; Pseudomonadota; Gammaproteobacteria; Enterobacterales; Enterobacteriaceae. The record is from RNAcentral.